AUAAAUCAAAGCUAAAACAGAAGCACGCAGCUGUUACCUGCAAGAUUGUAGUCUUACUGAUUUG
Molecule: transfer RNA, 64 nt
Filed under: Laevipilina antarctica
Lineage: Eukaryota; Metazoa; Mollusca; Monoplacophora; Tryblidiida; Neopilinidae
Description: tRNA-Asn
Source: RNAcentral